RNAcentral lists this unclassified non-coding RNA (3825 nucleotides) under Leishmania donovani. RNAcentral's name for it is "gene:LdHU3.29.0530(CDS-product:Domain_of_unknown_ function_(DUF3451)_putative)". Lineage: Eukaryota; Euglenozoa; Kinetoplastea; Trypanosomatida; Trypanosomatidae. The record is from RNAcentral.
CUGCUGGCAGCGUGGCAGCGGAUCAUCAUCUCCCAUCUUUUUCUUUGUUGCUAUCUUACUGACGCAUCUCAUCGAAGUUUUGCGCCACUCGUGAGCGUUAAUCUGAGCGUUGUUACGGUCCUUCGUCCCCUCCCUCCCUCCCUCCCUCCCUCCCCCCUCUCUCUGUCGACUCGAUCCAGUGCGGCAGAGCUGUCUCCUCGUCGUUUUUUUUUUCUUGCUCAGCUGCGCGCUUACCAACUCGUUGCUGAUCAUAUCCGUUCACAGGCGCGCCGAAGCACCGGCAUACAUACCGGCAGGGCCGUAGACGCGCGUGUAUCCAAAGAUAGACAUUCGCCAUAGAUAAGUGAACGCUAUAUAUGCACUGCUAGAUAGAUCCCAGAGUUGUACCCGCACAAGCGUAUUGAAGGCACGCCGCCGCAGGCGUGCCGCAUAGCCUACCCCGCCCCCCCUGUCGAUCUCUAUACGACAUGCACGCACGUAGUAAAGCACACGAAUUUUGUGCGUUGGGCGUUGUGCAACGCCACGGCGCCACGGCGACGGUGACGCCUGAGCGCGACUUGGAGGAUCGCCUUCAGCGCGCCCUGCACGAGAACAGCAUAUUGAAGCUCCAGAAGAAUGAGCUGGAGGAGAAGCUCAAGAAGGUGCAGACGCAGUUUCGCCGCCUUGUCGCGGACUGGCGUCGGGCGCAGGAGAGUGGCGCAGUGGCAUCCCCCGGCCCUGCGUCAUCGCCGUGUUCGGCGGCACUACCCGCACGACCCCACUCAGCGGCCGAGGCAGCGAUUCGAGGCUCGUCUGCGACGCCGUCGCUAAGGGGGCUGCUGCCUCCGUUGAACCCGAAUCAGCCUGCUCACGCGCCCACCGGCACGUCCUCGGACACAGCGAAACAGUUUAAGAAGCAGGGCAGCUCGCCGAACCUCGCGACUGCCGCUGCGGGUGUGAGCGAGGCUGAGCUGGCGGCCUGCAAAGCAGCGCUCGCGCAUGCGCAGCUGGAGCUCCAGCAGGUGCGCGCGGCUGCCCUGGCCGCUGCCAAGGCGCGAACUACUGCACUCGCUGCUUCGAGCAACGCAACCACCAAGUCAGCUGACGCCUCCGCAGCCACCUUGGCAGCGGCAAAGCAGGAGGCAGCACAGCUCCGUUCUCAGCUUCAGCAGGUACGCGAGGAGCUCAACGCCGCCCUACUCGGCCAGCAGCAGCUGCAGGCGCAGUCCAGCCAAGCCGUGCAGGGGCUGCAGCAGCAGCUGGAGGCGCAGUACCGCGCCUCUAUUGACACCCUCGCUCGUGAGAAGCAGGAACUGAGUUUGAAGGUGCGACUCAUGGAGGCAGACAGGCAGGCCACAAACUCGGUGGAGGCGGGCGGCCCAGACCCGAUGGAGAUGGUGACCCUACAAGGGGAGGUGCACCGCAAGGCGAGCGAGGCCACUCUCCUGAACAGUCGCCUCCAGUAUGCGCAAGGACAGGUCGAGACGCUGAAGGGUGAGUGCAACCGGCUCAUCGAGGAACUCAAGGAGGCGCACACAGCCCAUGCGGACACAAAGAGGGCUUUGUUCACGGUGGAGCACGAGGCAGCGUCGCUGCGAACGCGAUGCGGGUCGAUGGACGAGUUGGAGCUGGCGCUGCAGCGCAAAACGGCGGAGUGCACAAAUAUCGAACAGGAGUUGCUGAAGCUCGUUGGCUCGCUGCAGGCUUGCCAGCGUGAGACGGAGACGGCGGUUCGCCUUGAGUUCGACAGUCGUCUCACGGAGGUUCAGGAGAUGCGCGACACGGCGGAGCGAGAACGACGGGAGGUGGAGCGAAAGCUGCUUAACUGCCAACACGACCUUGCGGAGCUGCGUCGUCGGUUGGAGGGCACGCAGGAGGACCUCCAGCUCUACCGCGGUCAGGUAGCAAAGCUAGAGAAGGAGAAGAGUGCUAUGUCGGCGCAGAUUGCGUUCGCGGGGCACACAGCCGCGGCGGCCGCCGCAGCAGGAGCCGACCUCACCGACGACGACGUGCAUCGCGCCCUGGCAGUGGCGGCAAUCAAGAAGAGGGGAUCGCGGAUACCGAAGCGUGAGGCGGACGUGGGUGGUACUGCUGAUGGAGGCGCCGCUGCCACGUCUCGCGGUGAUGCCGACGCCGCUGGUGCGGCCCCGGCGAAGGAGGCGAGGGAAGCGCUCGAUCUUUUCGAGGCCCUGUCGUGGGACGGCGACUGGGAGCAGGGCCAGAUGCGCGAGGCUCUGGCCACCGCUGCGAUGGACCUGGAACUGGCCGAGACGCGCUGUCAACAGAUGGCUGAGCAGGUGGAGCAGUCUCGCGAGAUGCUGCGCAAGGUGAGCGAUGAGCGAGAUAUGCUGCUCGAGGAGAGCAUUGCCCUUCGUGGUCGGGUGACGCAUGUACAGACCAUUUUCGCCAAACAGCAACUGCAGGCGUAUCGGGCAGCCGCCACAGCGAGCGGGCUCGACGCCGAGGGACUGAUUACCUUUUCUAUUCGCGGGCUGCAGAGUCAGGAGGCGGCCAUGUGCCGUUCCUUGGGCAUUGCCAAUCUCAAAGCCCCUGUCUCAUUCUUUUUCACGCUGGAGGGGCUGGCGGACUACGAGGCGAUGGUGGGGCCGACGCUGCGCGCUCUCGAUGACGUUGUGGACGUGCGCUUCCAAUACGAAGGUCUCGCAAAGGACGCUGUCACGCUGGCGGCCAUCGAGCAGACAACCUUCUGCUUCCAGUUGCACUGCGCCGCCGGCGAGACGAGCCGAUUGGUAGCCAUGGCGGAGCUGCCUGGAGCGUCGCUGCUGAAUGCGCGCGAGGUCCUGGUGGAAGACACACUGAACCUCAUCGACGGCGAGGGACAGAAGGUGGGGAGUAUCCUGGUCGAGUUCUGCUGCGCUCGUCUUGUGCUGCCCAUCCUGCUAGGCGCCCCUCUUUCCGACCCACGUGCCGGGGCGACCUCCUUCACUCUGUCUGCGCCAGAGAUCAAAGCGGCCAUGGUGGCGCUGCGCACUGUGUGCCACCUGCGCAUUCAAGUGUUCCGCGCCGAGGGCCUGGGCGGCUCCGCAGAGGCAGGCACGGCGCCUCAGCCCUACGUCUUCUAUACAGCCACGUCGCCUCUCGGGGCCCUCAACUGCGUGCGGGACACUGUCGUGCACCCGUCUAGCCGCGCCUUUACCACAGACCCUGUUUUUGAUGCGAUGCCGGUGGAUCACCGUGUCAUUGUCGAUCCGGCGCUGAUCCGGUUCGUGGCGUUUGGCGUCGUCAGCUUCGUCCUGUUUGAUGAGCGCGCGACCAAUGUGCAAUCCAACCUCGGCGUGGUGGAGGUGGCGCUGCGUCCGCUGCUCAACUCGCCGCAUGCGACCAUUCGAGUCACGGAGAAGCUGCAUCCGCAGGGCACGCUGAGCGUUGGGCUGUCGUGGGUGUCCGGUGUGUGAAGUAGCCGCAUUCGUGAGCGCGCGUGCGUGAGCGAAGGGUGUGUGGCGCUCGGAUGAGCAUCGCCGCUUGUGGCGCGCGUCGUGUUUAGAGAUGUGGCGGGUGCCGCUCUCGCUUUCCAUGGCUUUGCCGUCGUUUACCGUUUUCACUAUGCCUCUCUGCCAUGUGUGGGGUGGCGCAUCGCAUGCUGUGUCUUUAGAGCGUGUCGUGUAUGUGGACUCGCGCACAAGCAUACAAGCACACACGCACACGCACACACACACACACACGUGCUGACCAGGUAAGCGGGUGCUCGCUUGAAUGCCUCAAAAAGUGCACACGGACGCGUGUGGAUUGGCCGAGUUUCGACGGACUCGUGAGGAGCGCAGAGAAGUGUCUCUUUCUCUAUGGUGCCCCGUGGGUGACGGCAGGGGACUUGUGGACGGUGCGUCG